RNAcentral lists this ribosomal RNA (254 nucleotides) under uncultured bacterium. RNAcentral describes it as "partial 16S ribosomal RNA". It matches the Rfam family "Bacterial small subunit ribosomal RNA", at positions 524 to 776 of the family's 1533-position model. The record is from RNAcentral.
UACGAAGGGGGGCUAGCGUUGCUCGGAAUCACUGGGCGUAAAGCGCACGUAGGCGGCUUUUUAAGUCAGGGGUGAAAUCCUGGAGCUCAACUCCAGAACUGCCUUUGAUACUGAGAAGCUUGAGUCCGGGAGAGGUGAGUGGAACUGCGAGUGUAGAGGUGAAAUUCGUAGAUAUUCGCAAGAACACCAGUGGCGAAGGCGGCUCACUGGCCCGGUACUGACGCUGAGGUGCGAAAGCGUGGGGAGCAAACAGG